RNAcentral lists this long non-coding RNA (1922 nucleotides) under Homo sapiens (human). RNAcentral's name for it is "non-protein coding lnc-SNAPC1-1:1". Lineage: Eukaryota; Metazoa; Chordata; Mammalia; Primates; Hominidae. The record is from RNAcentral.
UUUUUGCUGUAGGUUUAUACUAUUUUAUAGAUACUAUAAAUUUAUACUGUAGGUGCUAUAAGUUUAGCAAAUUUAGCUACCUUGAAGUGUUUGCUAGUUUCAACAUUGGGGGCAUCAGUAUGUCUGUUUCCCCCAAAGAGUAUAUCUGUUUUUAUUGACCGAUUUAUUUUUUUAUUGACUGUGGUUUACAUUUUCAUGUUUCUUUCCCUGUCUACUAAUAUUUUAUUGUAUGAUAAUACAUGUUAGGGACUCUGAAUUCUAUCACCUUCCUCUAAAGAGUGUUGAGUUUUGUUCUAUAAGGCAGUUAAGUUAUGACAGAGCAUCUUAUACUUAAAGGGGCUUGAUUGUAGGCUUUGUCAGGGUGGAUCUAUUCAGCUUGAUCCUUAGUUUUAGGGCAAAUCCCUUAGUCCUGGAAGUGGUCCCUAAAUCUAAGGUGUGGGCUUUUUGAAGUUUAAUGGAAACCGUGAAGUGUUUGCCACAUCACUCUAUUCUUGCAAGACUUGAACUUUGAACUCAGGAGACCUUUGGGUGGUCAGCUGCUGAAAUACCCACUCGGGACUUUCAGAUUUCUAGCUCUUUGCCCUAGAAUCAUGGGGGUUUUUGCCUUGCUUGCAGCCAAAGAUCUGAGGGGAUUUUAUACACAGAUUUUGGAGUUUCUAUGAUUGCUCCUUUUAGGGAUUUCCCAUCUUGACUUCUAACCACUCUGACAGCCCAAACUCCAUUCUCUGACUCCUCAGAUAGGUAAGACUAUGACAUUCUGCCUGAGUCCUACCUGCCCAGUGCCAUGGACAGGGGAGUGCACUCAGGUAAAGUUGUAUAAACAUGCAUAUCUCCUUUACAGCAUUGAAUCCCUUACAGUUGCUAUCACGGAAAGUAAUCAUUAGGUGACAUCCCCCUAUUUACCCUGAAGUUACUGAACCAUCUUCCCUGGAUUUGUGCAGGGUGUCUCCUAAUUUACGAAGAUUCCAAUUAGAUUGGGAGUAUGACUUAACUCAUUUAAGUCACCCAAAUGCUAUUUGAUCAUAAUUUAGUGUCUUGUUAACCUAAUGGCUUGAAAUAAAUUGACGCACUUCUGAAAAUAGGGUAAAAAUCCCUGAUUUUUCAAGGAGGCUAAUCUUCCGUAAAUGCUAAGCACUAUAGAAUCAAUUAUGUUAUUAAUUUGCUCUUGGUUGCAAGCUACAAAGCUUGAUCAGGCUAAUUACAGAUUAUGCUCUGAGGAAAAUAUUUUUAUAUGCACUAUUUUUUUCUUGCAGGCACUUUAAUAUGAGGUUUUAAAAAACCUUACUUAAGACAAAUAAAAAAGAAAACCUUCAUGUAAUUACUUUACCUGCAGGCUAAUUUUUAAAUACUUCAACACCGUAACAAUUAAAUGGGCUAUGUUAGCUUCAGUUGACAACAUUUAUUUAUUUAUUUAUUUGCAAUGAGACCUCAUAAUAUCCACCAGGCUGGUCUCGAACUCCUGGGCUCAAGAGAUCCUCUUGUCUUAGCCUCCCAAAUAGCUGGGCCUACAGGUGCCAGCCAUUCUGCCUAGCUAGUUGAUCACUUUUAGGGAAGGCAACACCCACAAGAUUUGUUGGACCUGAACUUCUUAUGGUGUGUCUGAUUUUAAAUGAAAUGAAUUUUGCUAAAGUCUCACAAAUGGUUAACUCUUCUGCCUUUAUUACAUGUUUUAAAUAGUUGAUUUAUCUCUUAGUUUCUUGCAGCAUAAUUGGUAUAUUGCUUCUCUUGCUAACAUGUCAUUUUACUGUAGGUGGUUAACUGAAUGUAUUCUCUCUGUAAAUUUCAACAAGUUGCUCAUAAAAUUUUCCCAGCAGAAACUUUUUGUUUCGUAUUUAAAAACUGAAUACACUGUCCUUUAUUUAGAGAGUGUAUGUUUGGAAAAUCAUCCUGUUUAUUUGUAAAUAAAGAUGAACCAGCCAGUC